GGGCCAGGUGCUGCAUGCAGUGCUCGGGAGGCAACAAAGAAUAGACUACCUGCUGUAGGGCUGACAGUCCGGUGGGAAGGCAAGAAGUCAUCAGAUAAUCACCCCCAGUAAAGCCACAGCCUACAGAGCAGCAUGGAGUAGUCACCAGCACCUUACCUGCCUCCACAGGGAGGUUCCCACAGUCGAGGGAAAAGGGCCCUUGAGGGGGUAAAGCUUGAACGUGUUUUAAAGUGAGAGGUUAACUGGUGAAGGGGGGAGGGCGUUGAAAGCAGUGUGCAGAGACCCAACAGCCUGUGUAAAAGUCCUAGUGGGGAGGACGUGGUGAGGAAGCACAGGGGCUAAAAAAUACCACUCAGGUUCACACAACAUGGCCUGGAGUAAGGCUGGAGAACUUUAGAAUUUGACAGGAAUUAAGGGCUGCCUCCCCUUCCUGGGCUGUGGUCCUAGUUAAAUUAGUUUUACUUCAAUGCAGAAGUUUUAUGAUUAAACAAAGGUUUGUUGGCUUAUACUUCUCAUCACAAAGGUGAUAAGGAACAUGAGCUGUGAAAAGAGGUCAGGAGCAGCGCUUAAGCACGAGUCUUUUGCUAUCUGAAUAUUCACAGACCUCUAGACUCAAGUUCAUGGUAGGAAUCAGACACACCCAAUAGGCCCCAGGUGUGGUAAGAGGACCUUGUCAGAGUGGGGAGCCACACCUCGUUAUUUCUUUUGGGGCUUCACUGAUUUGAGGCAGAUUUAGUGGCAACACCCAUCACAACCCACAUAGAGCUAUAGAAGGCACAUCUAGACUCAAUGGAAGCAGGCAGCCAGGCCUUGGCCUUCACAGGCGAAGGGGCCUUUUUUUUUUUUGGUACUUAAAUUCCUGAUAAACAUAUAGAAUGUCAUGGUAAGCUUUGUCAUCACCUGUGUUUGAAAGUUAUCACCGUCCAUCUCCUGAGAGGCUAUGAAGAUUAAAAUUUCUACAUGUGAUAGGUUAACAUUUCUAGGAAAGGGACAGCUAUCAAUAUUACUGUCUUAAUAGCCAUAAAUGAAUUCUACCCCCUAUCCUAAGACAAGGUCAUUACAUGGGAAUGACAGAGUCUUCUCCCAAUUCCUAUGUGGGAGCCAGAGGGAGCGAGGACAAAACCUGAGACCCUACACAAACAGUAGGAAGCUACUGAAGGUCUUUCGCAGGGUGAGAGGAAAGAUGCGCAUCCUGAGGCAAGCUUUCUGAUUGAGUGGUAGAGGACAUGGGAGAAUGGUCAUUGCAGAUGUAGUGAAGCCACUGAGAGGCUAUUGCCAGAGUCCAUCUGAGUUUGGACUAGGGUGGGGAUAGUGGAUUUAGAAGUAGA
RNAcentral lists this long non-coding RNA (1328 nucleotides) under Marmota monax (woodchuck). The record is from RNAcentral. Lineage: Eukaryota; Metazoa; Chordata; Mammalia; Rodentia; Sciuridae.